This 327-nucleotide ribosomal RNA is filed under the name uncultured eukaryote. RNAcentral's name for it is "partial 18S ribosomal RNA". It matches the Rfam family "Eukaryotic small subunit ribosomal RNA", at positions 1470 to 1796 of the family's 1831-position model. The record is from RNAcentral.
CCCUUAGAUGUUCUGGGCCGCACGCGCGCUACACUGAUGCAUUCAACGAGCCUAUCCUUGACCGACAGGUCCGGGUAAUCUUUGAAUCUGCAUCGUGACGGGGAUAGAUUAUUGCAAUUAUUAAUCUUCAACGAGGAAUGCCUAGUAGGCGCAAGUCAUCAGCUUGCGUCGAUUACGUCCCUGCCCUUUGUACACACCGCCCGUCGCUACUACUGAUUGGACGUUUAAGCAAGAUUUUUAAACACUGACAGUGUGUAGUUCACGCUAUACUACAGUGAGAAGAAGAAGAUCGAGCUUACUUGUCUAGAGGAAGUAAAAGUCGUAACA